CAUAAUCAUUUGUUCCUUAAUUAGGAGCUGGUAUGAAGGAGGCGACGAAAGCUAUACUAUCAAGAUUUAAUUUUAAAUUGACAGGCCGGUCAAAAGGCCGGCAUGUACCGGGGGGACGACAAGACCCUAUAAAACUUUACCUCUAGAGCAAGGGCGGGCAGAAAGCUUUGGGCACAGCGGUUUGACUGGGGCGGUCUAUAUAGAAACAAUUUAGGGUUUAAUAUAUUAAAUAGUCUCAUAGAGCUCUUUAAGAAAUAGAAUAAGUUACUUUAGGGAUAACAGCGUAAUCACCCCAGAGAGUUCCUAUCGGCGGGGUGGCUUACGACCUCGAUGUUGAAUUGGGGAUCCUCUUGUACGCAGCUGUACACAGAGACAGUCUGUUCGACUGUUAGACUCCC
RNAcentral lists this ribosomal RNA (398 nucleotides) under Proasellus sp. n. Pesio Santa Anna. RNAcentral describes it as "partial 16S ribosomal RNA". It matches the Rfam family "Bacterial large subunit ribosomal RNA", at positions 1960 to 2597 of the family's 2925-position model. The record is from RNAcentral. Lineage: Eukaryota; Metazoa; Arthropoda; Malacostraca; Isopoda; Asellidae.